GACGAACGCUGGCGGCGUGCUUAACACAUGCAAGUCGAACGGAAAGGCCCCUUUGGGGGUACUCGAGUGGCGAACGGGUGAGUAACACGUGAGUAACCUGCCCUUGACUUCGGGAUAACUUCAGGAAACUGGGGCUAAUACCGGAUAGGAAUCCUUGCUGCAUGGUGGGGGUUGGAAAGCUUCGGCGGUUUUGGAUGGACUCGCGGCUUAUCAGCUUGUUGGUGGGGUAGUGGCUUACCAAGGCUUUGACGGGUAGCCGGCCUGAGAGGGCGACCGGCCACAUUGGGACUGAGAGACGGCCCAGACUCCUACGGGAGGCAGCAGUGUGGAAGAUUGCACAAUGGGCGGAAGCCUGAUGCAGAAACGCCGCGUGCGGGAGGACGGCCUUCGGGUUGUAAACCGCUUUCAGCAGGGGCGAGGCUUGUGGUGACGGUACCUGCAGAAGAAGCACCGGCUAACUACGUG
RNAcentral lists this ribosomal RNA (465 nucleotides) under uncultured bacterium. Its description in RNAcentral is "partial 16S ribosomal RNA". It matches the Rfam family "Bacterial small subunit ribosomal RNA", at positions 28 to 507 of the family's 1533-position model. The record is from RNAcentral.